AACAAGGCGUACCUGCGGACCUGCGGAAGGAUCAUUACCGAGUUUACAACUCCCAAACCCCUGUGAACAUACCUAUACGUUGCCUCGGCGGAUCAGCCCGCGCCCUGUAAAAAGGGACGGCCCGCCCGAGGACCCUAAACUCUGUUUUUAGUGGAACUUCUGAGUAAAACAAACAAAUAAAUCAAAACUUUCAGCAAUGGAUCU
Molecule: unclassified non-coding RNA, 204 nt
Filed under: soil metagenome
Description: partial contains 5.8S ribosomal RNA, internal transcribed spacer 2, and large subunit ribosomal RNA
Source: RNAcentral